This 739-nucleotide unclassified non-coding RNA is filed under the name Hevea brasiliensis (rubber tree). Lineage: Eukaryota; Viridiplantae; Streptophyta; Magnoliopsida; Malpighiales; Euphorbiaceae. The record is from RNAcentral.
GAAAAACAAAUAUUAAAAAAAAUAAAACGUGAAAUAUUAUUUGGGAAAAAAACUGCAUGACAACAAUCUCGUUCCAUACAAAUAGAUACAAAAAAAGACAAUACAUAAAUAAAAAUAAUUAACUGAAAAAUUAUAUAAUAAUUGACGCGGCUGCUUUGCUAUUUUGCUUUCACAUUAUUUAACACCAGAGGAUAGGCUGCCAGUGGUGGCCAUCAUCAUUACCUUACUGUCACCGCAGAUGGCUAUCACCGGCGCGUCCGGUUCCGACUCACCAGACGUCCAAGCUCCUCUCCUAUACGACACCGUCGAGGGCUGCGUUGAUUACAAAGGCCGUCCCGUUUAUAAAUCCAAUUCAGGCGGCUGGAGAUCUGCGUCUUUUAUAAUAGGAGUGGAGGUUGCAGAGAGAUUUGCCUUCUAUGGGAUAUCGUCGAACCUUAUUACGUAUUUGACCGGGCCACUUGGUCAGUCGACGGCUACUGCGGCGGAGAACGUCAACGCCUGGUCGGGAACGGCGUCGUUGCUGCCUUUGUUAGGUGCAUUUGUUGCCGAUUCAUUUCUUGGGAGAUUCCGUACUAUUGUUGUUGCCUCUCUUACCUACAUAUUGGGACUUGGCUUGUUGACUCUAUCAGCAAUGCUUCCUUCUUUCAGUGCUUCUGACUGCCCAAGCAUCAACAUUAUCACCUCGUGUUCAGCUAAUCCAAUUCAGGUAGUCUUAUUCUUCUUUUCUCUAUAUUUGGUA